RNAcentral lists this long non-coding RNA (793 nucleotides) under Rattus norvegicus (Norway rat). Its description in RNAcentral is "long non-coding RNA NONRATT011446". The record is from RNAcentral. Lineage: Eukaryota; Metazoa; Chordata; Mammalia; Rodentia; Muridae.
GUCAUUCCUGUGCCCUUGAAAGAAGAUGGAGACUUUUUAGGAUUUACCCUCACCGAGCACAGGAAGAUAACAUUCAAGGGAUGCCUCAGCUUGAGCAGAUACCAGUUAUCUCCUGAGUCAACACCCGGUGUCUCCACCGCAUGACCUCAUCGUCUACCGCCUGACCUCUUUGCCUCCUGCUAUCACUGACUAUAUCCUCAUCCCUCCAUCCUUUGUGUUUCACAAAGGACACUCCCCCUACCUGAAAGCCUUAAAAGCUGGAACGUUCACCCCAAUAAAUGAGACCUUGACAAUAGAAUCUUGCUUGGUCUCCUUCUCCUCUCGCCCCCCAUAGGCCUAUGAGUAAGCAUACAUAUAAGACUACAACCAGCUGAGUCAUUUGUUGAUGUUGUUGCUGUUGUUAUUGUUGUUAUUGAUUGUGUGUAUAUAAUUUCAGGUGUGAUCACAAUGCAUUAAAUUGCCAAUUAGGGGGUUUAUUCUUCCAGUAGGCUGAUUCUCUGACUUGCAAAUGAAUGAAAGGACAGUAGGGGAAUAACCCUUCUAAUGACCUAGCAGCUUUGGAGAGGAAAUAUAUAUAUAUAUAUAUAACCUUGGGAUGGAAAACACAUGAGCAGCUGAGAACACUGUAGAUUUUUUGAGAGCAUCCAGGUUUCAUUUCCAGCAACAUAAGAGUAGCUCACAUCUACCUCUAAUUCCAGUUUUAGAGGUUCAGAGAAAAGCUGUUCACCUCCCUAGUCAGGCAAAAAUUUACCAGGCAGGAAUGGGGAAAAGUCACAUAAACAGGAAAAAAAAA